GCAAGUCGAACGAGAAAGCACCUUCGGGUGUGAGUAGAGUGGCGCACGGGUGAGUAACACGUAGGUGACCUACCUUACAGUGGGGGAUAACUCCGAGAAAUUGGAGCUAAUACCGCAUACGAUAAACGAAAUUGAAAAAGUUUAUGAAAGAAUGCCUCUCCUUGGAAGCAUUCACUGGAAGAUGGGCCUGCGGAGCAUUAGCUUGUUGGUGGGGUAAUGGCCUACCAAGGCAACGAUGUCUAGGGGUUCUGAGAGGAUGAUC
Molecule: ribosomal RNA, 262 nt
Filed under: uncultured bacterium
Lineage: Bacteria
Description: partial 16S ribosomal RNA
Rfam family: Bacterial small subunit ribosomal RNA
Source: RNAcentral